CCCAAAUCCUCCCACUUAUGUUGUAAGCAAAUCAGAAUAGUUUUUUAUGUCUUUGACCUCAUGUGAUUGGAUCGUUUUCAGAGUCUCAUAACCGCGCUGCAGAUUGCCAUGUAACUGCUAGAGACAGUACUAAUCAGUGAAAGCAAGUGAAAUACCUUGAGAUGAUAGAAAAUAUGAUUUUAUGCUUACAAAAUCACCCUUUACAAGACGUUCAGUUGAAGAAUAAAUAAAGUAUUAAGGAGCUUGGACCAGAUUGAGCAGCAGGAAAUGAUCAUGGUCGAGUUUACAUGCUUUUCCAGGACUUAUGGCAAACGGAGUUGGCUAACAUUAGCUGGAUGAUAUAACCAGGCAAAUGCAAUAUGCUCACGUGUCUGCAAGACUGUCCGGUAGAGGGUAGAUGGCUCGCUUCCAUCCGUCAGCGGGAAAGAAAACAGACGGCUGCGACACUUGUCCGGCACAGCGCGGAUCUGCAGGUAAACACUGUGGGACCAGGUACUUCCAAGUCACGCCGAAGUUCACAGAGUACUGCACGUGAACCUGUCUCUCCACAGGCCUCUCAGCUGUUUACUUUAUCAAUAACCCAUGGACUAUGGAAAUGGCCGUUCUCAGAUGGCUGCCACCAGCGCAGGCGUGUUGCUGGAGUACGGGCUUUGAGAGGGAUCUCGAGAGCUACCAGGUGU
Non-coding RNA from Paramisgurnus dabryanus, 680 nucleotides. The record is from RefSeq and is a predicted model, not a curated record. NCBI's taxonomy places the organism in Eukaryota, Metazoa, Chordata, Actinopteri, Cypriniformes, Cobitidae.